Molecule: transfer RNA, 74 nt
Filed under: Nitratidesulfovibrio sp. HK-II
Lineage: Bacteria; Pseudomonadati; Thermodesulfobacteriota; Desulfovibrionia; Desulfovibrionales; Desulfovibrionaceae
Rfam family: tRNA
About the family: Transfer RNA (tRNA) molecules are approximately 80 nucleotides in length. Their secondary structure includes four short double-helical elements and three loops (D, anti-codon, and T loops).
Source: Rfam by way of RNAcentral
GGGCAAUUAGCUCAGAUGGAUAGAGCGUUGGCCUCCGGAGCCAAAGGCCACAGGUUCGAAUCCUGUAUUGCCCA